RNAcentral lists this ribosomal RNA (429 nucleotides) under Bacteroidota bacterium. Its description in RNAcentral is "Bacteroidetes bacterium partial 16S ribosomal RNA". It matches the Rfam family "Bacterial small subunit ribosomal RNA", at positions 355 to 776 of the family's 1533-position model. The record is from RNAcentral. Lineage: Bacteria; Pseudomonadati; Bacteroidota.
UAGGGAAUCUUCCGCAAUGGACGCAAGUCUGACGGAGCAACGCCGCGUGAGUGAAGAAGGAUUUCGGUUCGUAAAACUCUGUUGUUAGAGAAGAACAGCGCAUAGAGUAACUGUUAUGCGUGUGACGGUAUCUAACCAGAAAGCCACGGCUAACUACGUGCCAGCAGCCGCGGUAAUACGUAGGUGGCAAGCGUUGUCCGGAUUUAUUGGGCGUAAAGCGAGCGCAGGCGGUCAAUUAAGUCUGAUGUGAAAGCCCCCGGCUCAACCGGGGAGGGUAAUUGGAAACUUGUUGACUUGAGUGCAGAAGAGGAGGGUGGAAUUCCAUGUGUAGCGGUGAAAUGCGUAGAUAUAUGGAGGAACACCAGUGGCGAAGGCGACUCUCUGGUCUGUAACUGACGCUGAGGCUCGAAAGCGUGGGUAGCAAACAGG